GACGAACGCUGGCGGCGUGCUUAACACAUGCAAGUCGAGCGGUAAGGCCCUUUCGGGGGUACACGAGCGGCGAACGGGUGAGUAACACGUGGGUGACCUGCCCUUAGCUCUGGGAUAAGCCUGGGAAACUGGGUCUAAUACCGGAUAUGACUCCAUGACGCAUGUUGUGGGGUGGAAAGCCUUGUGCGGCUAGGGAUGGGCCCGCGGCCUAUCGGCUUGUUGGUGGGGUGAUGGCCUACCAAGGCGACGACGGGUAGCCGGCCUGAGAGGGCGACCGGCCACACUGGGACUGAGACACGGCCCAGACUCCUACGGGAGGCAGCAGUGGGGAAUCUUGCGCAAUGGGCGAAAGCCUGACGCAGCGACGCCGCGUGAGGGAUGACGGCCUU
Molecule: ribosomal RNA, 389 nt
Filed under: uncultured bacterium
Lineage: Bacteria
Description: bacterial SSU rRNA
Rfam family: Bacterial small subunit ribosomal RNA
Source: RNAcentral